RNAcentral lists this ribosomal RNA (507 nucleotides) under uncultured bacterium. Its description in RNAcentral is "bacterial SSU rRNA". It matches the Rfam family "Bacterial small subunit ribosomal RNA", at positions 29 to 526 of the family's 1533-position model. The record is from RNAcentral.
AUUGAACGCUGGCGGCAGGCCUAACACAUGCAAGUCGAACGGCAGCACAGAGAGCUUGCUCUCGGGUGGCGAGUGGCGGACGGGUGAGUAAUGUCUGGGGAUCUGCCCGGUAGAGGGGGAUAACCACUGGAAACGGUGGCUAAUACCGCAUAACGUCGCAAGACCAAAGAGGGGGACCUUCGGGCCUCUCACUAUCGGAUGAACCCAGAUGGGAUUAGCUAGUAGGUGGGGUAAGGGCUCACCUAGGCGACGAUCCCUAGCUGGUCUGAGAGGAUGACCAGCCACACUGGAACUGAGACACGGUCCAGACUCCUACGGGAGGCAGCAGUGGGGAAUAUUGCACAAUGGGCGCAAGCCUGAUGCAGCCAUGCCGCGUGUGUGAAGAAGGCCUUCGGGUUGUAAAGCACUUUCAGCGAGGAGGAAGGCGUUGUAGUUAAUAACUGCAGCGAUUGACGUUACUCGCAGAAGAAGCACCGGCUAACUCCGUGCCAGCCGCCGCCGUAACAC